GGAGCUGUGUCAUUAAUGCGCGUUCUCGCGGCCAUGCUUGUUGCAAGCUUGGAAAAGAUAGUGUUGCGAAUAUGACACACAAGUGGAUACAGUUAACGCUAGGUGGCGUACGCUAACCGCCAUAUUGCUUGUUUUCUAUCUUAUGUGGGAGAAGUGCUUUUAGCCACCAGUCUACAGAUGGAUGAGGUGCUGAGGGCUACAGGGAACUGUACAGAAUGCAACCGUAAAGAGUUAUUAGCAUGAGAAUGGAGGCCGUGCUCACUGCCUCACGACGGAGCUCUCCGAGGAUGUGACGCUGUGACGG
This 304-nucleotide long non-coding RNA is filed under the name Cottoperca gobio. Its description in RNAcentral is "lncRNA (ENSCGOG00000022988.1)". The record is from RNAcentral. Lineage: Eukaryota; Metazoa; Chordata; Actinopteri; Perciformes; Bovichtidae.